This is a long non-coding RNA of Myodes glareolus (Bank vole), 1915 nucleotides long. RefSeq lists it as uncharacterized. The record is from RefSeq and is a predicted model, not a curated record. NCBI's taxonomy places the organism in Eukaryota, Metazoa, Chordata, Mammalia, Rodentia, Cricetidae.
AGGUCAGGUUGGAGGCCACACAAGGUCACAGGAAGACUCACCAGCUGCCAAGUAGUCAGUCACCAAUCCUCAGGCAUGUCACAUGAAGCCACAGGCAGCCACAUGGAAUCACAGGUGCUUUCCGAGGACACAGGCAGGGAUGGUUAUGUGUGUGGUACAUGAGAGCUCAGAUUCCUUAGCUAUGGCUAAAAAGUCACCAAGUUGCUGAUGGCGUUGGGAUGCCUCUGUCUGGGAACAAAAGGAGAAAGCCUGAUUCUGCGAUUUUCCAAAAGAGUAAAGGUAGGUAUUCUGAUGGAGGCUCUCUGGACAUCUUCAGGUGGAUUUCACGAAGUUCCCCCUCAAAACUCUUGUGCUCUUCAAGCAUUAAGGAUUCACUAGGUCUCCAGCACCGAGGACAGCGCUCAGGCAGUCCAGCCCUCUCUACAGGCAGCCAGGCACUAAUUGAGAUCAGGACCCUGACCAGGAGGAAGAGGGUGAGAAACCAGACAUCAGACAUCAGGAAACAAGGGUGGAUAGAUGGGCGGAUCUUCUUCUUCUCCACCACAAAGCUCUUCCUCUCUUCAGACCCAGAAACAGCCAGGCGACUAUGGACUGAGACCUCUGAAACUAUGAUCCAAGACAGAACUUUAAGUUGAUAUUUCUCAGGCAUUUUGUCAGAGUGGCAGAAACUUGACACCAGCCAUCCAAGUCGAGCAAAGGAUACCAGCUGCAGCAAUGGCUCUGAUUCUAUCACGGCGUUGAUGCCUGGAGGAGAUCUCUGCCCUUUUCUGUCUCCACUGAUGCAAGUAGAUGCUGGCCUAGAGACUGCUGGUACCAAGUAACAAUUUGCUGCCUUUUCAUCAUCACAGUUGAGUGACCAGCCUCUGUGCCCACACCAGCCUCCAUCUCCUUGUCUGUUCUGCUGAUGGUCAUGAGAAACAGCCCAAGAUGGAUGGGAUCUGAUGAUCUUGCACAUAGACCAUCUGAGUCAUGACCCCUUGGUAUCUGUAAGUCUGAAACAUGUUUUCAGUUCCGGAGAUGGAGCCCAGGGCCUCACAUAGGCUAGGCCAAGUGUUUUAUUACUCAGAAGCAUCCAUAACCAUUCCUAUCAGUUUUGAACAUACUUUGAUAUUUUCCCACAUUGUAAGUGCCUCUUUCUGGUGGUACCCAGAAAACUCACUUUUCCAGCCUUCCUUGAAUCCAGGAAUGGGUAAGUGAAUUAGAUUGUGCCAAUGAGAUAUGUCUUCAUGAGCCUCUGAUCCAAAAAUCAGGAAUGAGUGGGGGAAACUCCUGCCCAUGGCAUCCAUCUUGCUGGCAGGAAAGUAGCAAAGUAAUGAAUGGUGUGUGACUGUGGGAGCUGCUCUUGGAAAUUUAAGGGUUUUUUUUUGAACCUCCCAUAAAUGCUGUGAGCUAUACAACAAUUUUCAGUAAGUUCUUUUUAUGCUAAAAGAAAGGAGUCCGUAUAGGUUUGGUGUUGUGCACAGCCAAGAACUGAGUUUGUCUCCCUCAUUGCCCCAUUGCUCAAGGUCUUUUCAGCCCUUGAAAGCUUGUGGCUACAGAGCUAAGCACAGAGUAUGAAACAUGCCUGGUCCCUCAUGCGGUCUCACUGUGGAAAUGAAAGUUCUGGCUGGUGAGGCUUGCUGAGACGGGGUCUCACUAUGAAGCCUUGGCUGGCUUGAAACUCACUCUGUAGAACAGGCUACUCUCAAACUCACGGAGACCCACCUGCCUCUGCCUCCCCAGUGCUGGAGUACAAGCGUAUGCACUACCAUGUUUGGCUCUCAGCUAAACUCAGUGAAGAAUCCACUGAGAAGAGCCACCCCGUUGACAGCCAGGACUUUGGAGACAAAAAGCAACAACUGAGAAAAUGUAAUGUCUACCUUAUAACCUCCAGGGAGUAGCAGUGGGUGUCCUCUCAAUAAAGCUGAUCACUGAA